GAUGAACGCUAGCGGCAGGCUUAACACAUGCAAGUCGAGGGGUAUGGUUCUUCGGUGUUUGAGACCGGCGCACGGGUGCGUAACGCGUAUGCAAUCUGCCUUACACUAAGGGAUAGCCCAGAGAAAUUUGGAUUAAUACCUUAUAGUAUAUUGAUGUGGCAUCACAUUAUUAUUAAAGAUUUAUCGGUGUAAGAUGGGCA
RNAcentral lists this ribosomal RNA (200 nucleotides) under uncultured bacterium. RNAcentral describes it as "partial 16S ribosomal RNA". It matches the Rfam family "Bacterial small subunit ribosomal RNA", at positions 28 to 231 of the family's 1533-position model. The record is from RNAcentral.